ACGAAGGGUGCAAGCGUUAAUCGGAAUUACUGGGCGUAAAGCGCGCGUAGGUGGUUUUGUAAGUUGGAGGUGAAAUCCCCGGGCUCAACCUGGGAACUGCCUCCAAAACUGCAUGACUAGAGUACGGUAGAGGGUGGUGGAAUUUCCUGUGUAGCGGUGAAAUGCGUAGAUAUAGGAAGGAACACCAGUGGCGAAGGCGACCACCUGGACUGAUACUGACACUGAGGUGCGAAAGCGUGGGGAGCAAACAG
Molecule: ribosomal RNA, 251 nt
Filed under: uncultured prokaryote
Description: partial 16S rRNA
Rfam family: Bacterial small subunit ribosomal RNA
Source: RNAcentral